This 304-nucleotide ribosomal RNA is filed under the name Castalia ambigua. RNAcentral describes it as "partial 16S ribosomal RNA". It matches the Rfam family "Bacterial large subunit ribosomal RNA", at positions 1953 to 2496 of the family's 2925-position model. Lineage: Eukaryota; Metazoa; Mollusca; Bivalvia; Unionida; Hyriidae. The record is from RNAcentral.
CAGGUAGCGUAAUAACCAGCCUUCUAAUUAGAGGCCAGUGAAAGGCAACACAUGGGACCACCUAUAUCUAAUGUGCCAAAAGAAUUUUACCUUUGAGUGAAAAGGCUCAACUAAUCAAAAAAGACGAAAAGACCCCGCGGAGCUUUACUUAAAAGUUACAGACCAUAUAAAAUCAAUACUAAAAGUUUGGUUGGGGCAACCUUGGAACAAAUAAUCUUCCAAUUCAUCUCUCUGCAACAAAAUACAAAACCUUUAUGGACUAAAAAGAAGCUACCCCGGGGAUAACAGCGUAAUCCAACUAAAA